GUUUGUACCUUAGUUUGUUAUGAAAACAUGCAUAUUUGCAGCCUGAGUCAGAGCUGGGCUCCUCAGCUGAAGAUCAGCUUUCUGCAUUGACUUCUCUUCCAAUCCCACCAGCUGGGCAUGGUGCUGUUAAAAACAUCCUUGGCUACAGGAGGUUCUCAUGAGUGCCCAAUGGCAACAGGUGUUCUCCAGCCUGCUAAGGAGGUUUUAAAUGGGAGAAAAAAUGCAACUUAGUUACAUAUGUUCCUCAAUGGGAGGAAGCUGACCUGUGGAGGAGAUGACUCCAGUACUGAUAGCACCGUCUUCUCAGCAUAACUUAAUGUAGCAAACUCCUGCAAAUGUCAGGAGGCGGUUGUACAAGGCAGGAUGCCACUUACUUACCUGCCUGAGUCAGCUGCGUGGAGAUGAGUCGAACAGCAAAGUGCACUGCCUUCCUUCCCUGCAAUACUGCUACAUGCAAAUUGUGCAUUCAAGGGAAAUAAGAGAAAUGCGACCUGCUGACUGAUUCCUCAACCUGCACUGUGGGUCAUGUUGGACCUUCCUGGUGACUUCUCAGUGUCUCUCUCGUCUUCCUCAGCCUGGAGACAGCUUCAAACAUUCAGUCCAUUCAGGAGCUAAUAUCAAGGGAGCAAGGUUUUUCAUCUAUGGGAGAUGCAAACCUUUCACCCACAUCCUGCAGGUGAUGGGCACCCGGAAUAAGGUGGGUGAUUUUCUUUCAAGGUCUAUGUUUGCAGAUUUUCUCCUGCAAUCUAACUUUCAGCUGAAUCUUCUUUGACAAGCAGAACAAGUUUUUGUCACUAAUCUCACUGUGAGAUUAUCACAUUUUUGUGAUGAAAGGGUGGAGUGUGGGACCAGGUAUAUUCUAAGGGUUUAGAGAAGUCUGGUUUAUUUUUCUCAGGGAUAUUUUGCUCUAAAUCAAGAGUGCCAGGCUGGAUCCUUGUGUUUUCCUGAGAAGAGCCACAAAUUAUAUUUAUUCCUGUAAGGAGAAAGAACAUCUUUCCUGACUACUGCAAGAAAUUAUCUUACUUUCUACAGGGUAAAAUGUGACUUCUUUGGCUACAAUAUGAACCCUACUGAAUGUUGGUCAAUGUGGUAGAUACCAUUUUCACUGACUGUUAUUUUGAGAAAAAACAGAUCUUUAUCUAUUAUUUAUAAGGAGUAGCAGAUGUAUCAUGACUAAGAACAAUGACUAGAGUUCUAAUUCGGGAAUUUCUUAUCUUGCAAAAAACUCAUGCAUGUAUUUUUUUUUAAAACCAUGGUUCAGUUAAAACCAUGAUGAGCAGAAGAUUAAAGCUCUGUCAGAUGAAAAGAAACGCUAUGCUAUUUCAACUCUCUCAGUUUUCAAAGGAGAAUGAAAUAUGCAGUAAUUCACACAGACAGCAUAAAUAUUGAAUAACCAUUGCAAUGGAUUGUGUUAAUAGAUAUACAAGAUGAAUAACAACAUAUUUGAUUUAGACCUUUUCUGAUGGUGCUAGUGGAUUGCAAGGAUUAGCCUGUCUUCUGCAGUACUAUCUAUUCAAUAACUAUAAUUCAAACUUCCCUUCAUUUUCUCCCUUCCCUCCUUCCUUUUCCCUUUCCAGGAAAAUAGAGUAGUUAUGAUAAAAAAAAAUGCACUUAUGUCAUUUUGUUUCUCUGGAGUCAGAUCUUGAUUGUAGCCAUCUAACUUCAUUCAUGUGAAUAUCCCCACUGAUUAAGGUGAGAAAGCUUGUCACAUUCUUAAAGCUUUUGGGGACUUGAAGGCAUGAUGGGUGAAACUUAAUCCUCCACCUCACUCAAAAACCUGUACACCUACUUGGCCUGAUGUUACAUGAUGUAAUUUGGGCAUAAAUCUAGUACAAGGACUCUUGAAGCAAAAAAAUGAAGCCAGAGUCUUUUACAAAAAACUCCUAUUACUAGCUGACUAGCUUUAGAUCAGAGCUCCAAAAUGCUGCAGAUAUGGCCCAUUUCCUUCUUCACUGGCAAAAGUUGUACAUGGUUGGGCCACCAAAGCCCUUCAUUCUGUGUUACACUGCUGAUUGCCUGAGGAGUGCUGCAGAGUUUCCGUGUCCCUAACCCUGACACUUGGUGGCUCAUGGCUCCUCUUGGUGUCACCCCUGCCUAGUAGAUUCCCCAACAGGUUGGGAUGAGCAGGAGUGAUAUUACUGGGAGGUUUCCUCCUUCCAUCGCCAUGGAUCAGGAAAGUGCAGUGUAUUUCAGAGCCUAAAUGCUUGAAUCUACUAUUUAAUAUCCUGUUGUGCUUUUGAGAAAUGCGAAAUCAUACUUCUGUUUUGAUUAUUUUUCUCCAUCUCCAGUGGCUUCUCAGAUCAUGUCCAAUAGAAGAAUUGCCUGUGAGCAUGCAGGUACGGCUCUAGAAAAUGUAUUACCUGGGUUAAAACGUGCUAAUUCAGAAAUGCCUUUCCUACCCUUUAGUCAUCCUUGUUAGGGAAAAAUGCUCCACCUCAAACUCCAGCUAACUGAUUGCCCACCCGUUCUGAGACUGUGCUCUGAAUUAAUCUACUCUAAAAGCCAACAGAGAUGACUUAUGUUUGGGCACCUCGCAGGAAAGUAAGGAGAUGAAAAGCCUCAGGAAAUCUUUGACAAACAUCUCUGAGUGUUUUACCCACUCUGCACAUCUGUUGCUGCAUGAAUAUUGCACAUAACAUGCCAAAGGGAGAGACAAGAGGUGAUCAGCAGGGAGGGCAGCUUUCGUGUUUGUACUGAACGUUUUCUUUUUAAGGAAAGAGAGGAAAUAUGCUGCACUACCUGUAGGAGGUGUGCCUGCUUUUGCUAACAGAUGUUCCUGCUUUGUGGAUGAAUGUCUAACUGGUCAGAUCCUUUCCUGAUGAACGCUGGCAUCUCUGGGAUAUGUCAGCUCCUGGAAAGGGCUUGUCAAAUGACACAACUGAUGAGGACUUCAAGCUCACUGUGCAGUACUGUCCCCAGGAACAGAAGACAAGCCAGCUGCUAUCCCAGUUCCUGAAGGAGAUUAAUACCAAUGGGACUAUUUCCCCAAUACAAGGACAAGCUGCAUGAUGAGAGGGGCAAAAGAAGUUGUAUGCCCAGAGAAUUUGUAUAAGUCUCAAGAUUUUCUGCAGGCAGAAAACUCCCUCUGAACUCAAUAUGUGUUGAGACCCAGCUCAUAGCAUCCCACUUUACAUCACCCCAGUGUCACCAUCACCUCUUGUCUGAGACAUCGAUUUUCACUGUGUCCAUGAUGGGUAACACCAGCAAAUCAUUCCAGGAACCUUCUACCAGAGCAUUGCCACCAGGACGAGUCUGCCAGGGACUGCCCAGAGACACGUGGAAAAUCAAGUGCAUGAGACCAGCAGUGCAAGGGAUCCAGGACCUCUGUUAAUAAACCAGUUUAUCUCUGCAAGAACUUGUCCCACCAAACCAAAGAAACCAUCAUCCUACUCAUGCACUUUUCCCCAACGCACCACAAAAGUGGUUUUUGGCCUUUAAAUCUGAUCUAUCUCCCUUUGAGAUGUCACUGAGAUGAUAGCUGUGAUCUCUAACAAGAUACAAUUAUUACCAAACGUAAAUCUAAUUCAAUAGAAAUUACUUGGAACAAUCAGCAUUGAUAGGCAACUGAGAAAAAUUGCACUGCAACGAUCAGAGUCCUCUGCACAUUUUUCCCAGCAGACAUUCUGUCUGUCUCACUUGUAGGAACUACUCUUGGUCAAAAUGCUGCAGAUGUUUUAAAAAUAAAAUAAAAAAAAAAGAUGGUCUUCAUCGUGCAGCUUUUAGCAGUGUUUAUUUUGCGUGAGCGAAAUUGUCUUCUGUCUUAAGAUGUUUAAUGAUUAUUUGAAAGCGACUUGAUGAAUAGAAGAGCGUGUACUCCCACAUGGGACAAGCGUAUUUUUAGGCUGAUUCAUGAUAAUUAAUCUUUGUCAAAGUGGAAUGCGUUAAUUUCUCCUACUGGUAGGGGCUUUACUGCUGCUUCUUUCCCUCAGGUAGAUGGUUCUGCUCCGGGAGCAUAUUAGCUGAUUUAAGUGGACACAACCAGGUACUCAGUUAUGUCACUGUUAUCUCAAUGAUCUCUUAAGGAACACAGAGUACUUAUUUCUGUGGAUACGGUGCGCUCCAUGUUUCAUCACAGACCUUUGUCACUUUGUUAUUUAUAGAAUUCAGAUUACUGCAAUUUGAAAGUCUCUCCGUCCUUGCUAGUGUGCCGUGACAUAAAAUAAACCCACAUAUUAAGGAAAAAAAAUAAAGAGAACAACAACAACAAAAAAAAGGACAGCAGCAACGUGGAAACGUACAGCUAUAAAGGGCCCUAGGCUGUUCUUCGAACACCACGCCAACCAGCCACUCGCAGCAGCUUGACAGCGCUAUCACCCUGUGAUAAACUUACAGAAUUUGGUUUUUCAGUGAACUCUGGCUUAAGGGAAGAGGGGGAUGGGAAAGCACAAGAACUACCCCAGACUUCCCUUCCAAGCACCAGCCCAGCCAUACACGAGGACUUGCACAGCUGUUCCCGAGCAUGGUAUCAGAGCACCGCACGUAAGGAGCGCUUCUGCAGGACCACACAAGUUUGCUGCUAUUCUUAAGCCGAGCCUCGCAACUGGGAAACUCCUGCCAAGUUGUUUGAGACAGUGGCACCUGGGAAGUAUUAUAUGAGUCUGUAUUGCAUCAUGAGAACCCUAUUUGCACUUAAUUACACAACUCCCUCCCUCCCCCCAGUAGAACAAGCGGGACAGAUGCUGCAACUACAAAGUGAGAAUCAAACACAUUUUUUAAGUGGAAUCUGACAGCCUGAAGCCUAGAGGCAGGCUUCAGACCAGAUCCCAGCAACGAAGAUCCUCACAGUACUGAAUGGCUCAGACCAAUGAGUUUUUUGUGCAGUGAUCCCACUUAUCCCAUUACAGGUCUGACUCAUGCUCCUGCCUCAUUAUACCGAAAUGUAGAUGGAGAGGAUUUGACCACACUUCUCUCCCUUGGUCUUUCUCUGUGAGACCAUUUCACAGCCAGAAGCCUGGAUAUUAUCUUCACAAGGCUCCUGCCUGGUCUUUUACAUGGCGCCGGUCACAGCGUGUUGAGAAGCCUUGCAAGGAUUCACCUGUGGAUUGCACUGGUGCCUCUGGAUUUGGGGCAGCAGGUUAACAGGCAUCAGUUGGGCUAACAGAUGAAGAUGCUCUGACAGGGAUGAGUGACGGAGAGGCAGGAAAGACUCACACUGGCUUUGCCAACACGAGAUGUAUAACAGGAGCACCAGCACAUCAUGUUUGACAGGAGCAGAUCCUCUCAAAACAGAGGCAGCUGGCAGGUGGGCGCAGAUCCUUCACUGGCUAACACCUGCCUGAAGCCCUGUGUUUGUUGCCUGGUUGGGCUGGAAUAGAGCUAUUGCUGUACUGCAGGCCAUCCUGGGCUGUAUUGCAACAAAUGUGCAAACUGCUCUUUUUAAAGCAACUCACUGGAAAUUUGGAUCCCCAUGAGCAUUUCUAACUUGGGCUCAUUACUCAAGCUUUUGCAAUUGCGUGUAACUGGGGGCUUUACCCUUUUAUUCUCCCCUCACAAGUCAAAUUUCCCAUCCUUUGACAUGUAAUCCAAGACUGGAAGUACCUUUUCUGUUUCUAUCACACCACAGUAAUGCAGUCACUGAUGUGCCACAAGCUUCAGCUGCUGUAAAUCUUCUUCCUACUGCCCUUUCCACACCAGCUUUCUAGCAGUGCUUUAUGACUCACGGGUUUGGGCGUUGAUUCAGUAGUUUCUUUAAGGAGGGCCCAGAAGGUAUGAUGCAAAAGUACGUUUAUCAGAUGUGAUAUAGUUGAAUACAGUGAAUGUUGUCCUACACAAACAAAUCCAGCAAGGAAUGUUUUAAUGUACCCAGUUCAAAAAUUUUUCAGAUAAUGAUUUAUGCUGUGAGUGGGAAGUGGGGUUCCCACAAACUUUGUGUUGACUAUUAAUCUGCAUGGAAACCACUUGCACAAAGUUUAAGUCAAUGCAGAUCACAAACUGUUUCUGUGCAGCAUCUCUUACACUGAUGACUUUUAAAAUGAAUUGGGAGAUCUUCCAUGGUUUCACUUUAAACCUUGUCUGAUGCAGUUUGUCAUUUCUUUAGGCAUCAUCUACAUUUUAAAACAGGAGAAGGAAAUAUAUGUGGGCAAAGGCGUGCUGUGAUGCUCUUCCAGACUUCCAGCAUCUUCCCAGAUGGUGGUAAAUUCACUCUAUGGAUGAAUCAUUGAAGCGUUUUCACACACUUUCAUUUUAAUAUGCAUUAAAUGAGAAAAUGUUUGGGCACACACAAAAAAAAUAGUUCAGCUUUCAUGUUUCCUCCAGUGUGUGCUGUAAGCAUGUCCUUCUAACUACAUACCAAGGCUAGCUGGUGUUUUGCCUAUUUGGCACAUUCAGAAAACAUGCAUGCCUAGCUUUGCAGCUCAAAUGUGACUCGUUAUUGCAAUUAAAUGGUUUAUACACUGAGAAACACCGUGUCUUUGUAUAAGACCAUGUUUGCAAUGCAAUGCAUACUGGAUACUGGUAGGUGAAACUGUAUUUCUUGUAUUAGGAUUGUAAUUGAUUUCUUCUCUAUAAAGAAGUUUCCAAUCAGAUCUUCACAAGGGGUUUUCCCCCCAGGUUUUCAGGAGCUGUGCCCCAUGGUCAGGUUCCUCCACACGGCAACAGUUCAGCUUUCCUCUGGUGCUGGAGAAAGCACCACAAGAUGAGCUCAGGGCUAUCACUGCUUUUUGGCUCUCUCAAAUACGGUAGAAAGUUUGCAUGAUUAAAUUCUUUUCAGAAUUGGGAAACUGAUAUUCAUUCACAUUCGAGGCUUUUCUGCUCAUGUGUCAUCUGGCUAUUUCAUUAUUCAAGGAGCUCUGCUGGCCAAGGAAUGUAAAGUGGAAUUGCUGUAAAAUAGCUGUGGUGUGAGAUGGUACCCAUCAUUGUUGUUGUUUCCCUCACAGCUUUUUGGACCUGAAUUAAUUCUGGUUUUCGCAUCAAUAACCGGGCAGAGUUCAGCAGCGCAAAAUUUCAUACCUUGUUUUAUGGAUGUUUUUCCUCAUGAGGGGCAGGACCUGUCACCCCCCACAGGGAGUCCAAUCCAGUUGCUGCACGGGCAGGCAGAAAGGAGACGGCGUUAGAGUCUUGGACAGAAAAAAAAAUAAAAAUUGAAACUUCUUGGAAAGUUGGGAUCCUGGAAACUGCUUGGAUCCUGCUGGAACUGGAAGCGCCUGUCUCUGCAGCACUCUGUUGGACGUCACUUCUAGUUACACAUGUGCCUAAGUAUUUUGUGGGGCCGGGCCCUCGGAGCCUGCAGAAACACCCACGCGCUUCCAGACGCUAUGCAGGGACACAAACACUUCCAGUUUUUCCUCUGGAGAAACCCGACUUGUCCUCGCCUGCUGAGCAGAGACACCGUGAUGCACCCUGCAUGGAUCUCCUUGCUGGGUAGGGGCAGGUGGAUGUGUGGAUGGAUGGACAGAUGGACGGACGGGUGGACAGACCACCGCGCACCCCUCAGGCAGCAGCCGAAGGUGGCGGAUUUUUCCUCUGGCUGCUGACAGCUUUCCCGGGGCAGCCGGAGGAUGCCUGGGCUCUGGGUUUGUUAGUGUUAUUCCAGCCAAGCUCUGCAGCCAGAUCAUCUCACAUCAGCUGCGUAUUAUCCGGAGCCACGCAAGGAGCUGUUUUUAGAGGAAAUGCUCAUUUUAUAGGGUCUCCUCUGGUCUAGGAAAAAAUAUAUUAGAUGUGUGUGCUGCUCCAGGAGCAGACAAAGAAUAUUAACUGUGACUGUUACUCACGGUGCAGGUAUGAGGGAGGAUGAAAACUGCUCCUAACCUUUUUGGCCAGUGCUUGACUCCUGCCUGGAUCCUCUGAUUGAAAAACAGAAUGGGCUAGAUCAGGGUUUUCCUCACUCAUGCUCUUUCCAUGUCGCUGAGUACAAGGCUGGAGCUGGACUUUGUGCUGCCCUUUGUGGCUCAGUGACCUGGGAUGCUCUGCCUGGCCAGCACAGCAAGAAGCAUUCCAUGGCAUAGGGCUGCUUGAUGGAAACCCCAGAUCGACUCCGGUUUCUGCCUGCCUGCUGCCCAGUGUAAUCUGUAGGCUGGCAAAUCCAGCCUUGAGAAGGAUUUUGUUUUAGGUUUGAGUAUAUCAGGUAUUUGAGAAAACCUGUUUCCUUUUUUUUAUUUUUAAUAAAAAGAAGGAAAUCCACCAUGAAAGUAUGCACACUGAAGGAUCCAAAAAACAUGGAAAAAAUGAUCAGAUCAUCAUUUCAGGGAGGACUCAGUUAAACCAUUGUUAGUAUCUCUUUCACUUUCUGAGUGAUUUUAAACCGUAUAGUUAUGCUAAAAAAUUUGAGUAAGGAAAUCUUUCCUGGAUGGCUUCCUAUUUAUUCCUUCAUUUUCAUGAUCAGUAUUGCUGUGCCCUGCCAAUCUUCAGGGCAGUUUUGUGACCAGUGCUAGUCCCUUCCAACUGGGUAAGCUAAUGCUUUCUCAUAACAAUACAAAACAAAUAUAAAUAGAUUCAGGGACAAUUUGUCCAACAAGGAUCUAUGGUGCAGAGUGGAUUCUGGAGUCAUCUUCAAAGUGUCUCUAAAAUGACCUAUGAAUGUCUGCCUAGUUUGUUAAGAGUCCAGAGGGAUUUUCAAUACGAUGGACUUGGGUUAUUAAAUUACUGCUGGAAAUGUGGAGUUGACCUCCAGUGGAAAAUAUUUCUGCGAAAAAUGUCAGCGAACUUUUUAGUGAACUUUCCUCCACUGUUUCUUUUCUUGAAUCAAAAAUAAACAAUAGAUUUAUAUUAGGUGAGGCAAGAAAAGAGAAUGAAUCUAUUUUGUUGUAUUUUCUGAUAAGCAACACAGUCUAACAGCUAGCAAAUGUUGGCCACGUCUACUUCUAGCAGAUACUCAAAGUGAAAGGUGCCUUUGAACUCAUACUUGUAAUGGGAUGAAAUCACCAUCCCCUUUCUGCUGAUUUUGAUUAGAGCCAUUGAGAAAUGUCCCCCUGCACUGAAUUUUCUUUGCGUGAGGCUGACUGAUGGAAAUGUGCCAGGCUCAAUGAUGGGAUGGUGAGAAGUGCUUGGUUGGGAUGGUCUUUGGGCUCAGAAAGAGAUACGAUGCUUUCCUGAAAUGCAAGAGGCCUUGUUGUGCUUAGUUUGGAGACCUGCAUGGGGGUUUCCAUCUCCCCGGUGUUGUCCUGACUACCAGAUUAUGCUGGCAGGCGCUCUAAUCCAGUGAAUGCUUCACUGUUCAGACAAAUUAAGCAGUUCCAGCAGGAUGGAGCAAAAAAAAAGCCUGUAAUGAGCAGAAAUAGGAGCUGAACCUGAGCCUCUUGCACUGAGAUGAGUACUUGCGUGCAUAUUUUUCAAAUGAAAGAGGAGAGUUUGCUUUUGACCAUCAGUAAGCCCAGCCCACGGUAUUCAGAUGAUGGAUUUGCCAAUGCUUUCAGACUUUUUUGGGAGGUUUUUAGUUCAUCCCUUUAGUAAUGGCUUCAAGUUUUAAGGCAUUUCCCUUUGUAGUCUCCAAAUGACCUAUUAAAUUUCCAGACUCAGGGCACUAGAAUAAGACCUCUACAAACUCACUGCCCUAGUGCUCAUGACGUUUGUUUGACAUUAAGACUGCCACCAGACCCCGACUGG
Numida meleagris (helmeted guineafowl) is the source of this 9540-nucleotide long non-coding RNA. RefSeq lists it as uncharacterized. Lineage: Eukaryota; Metazoa; Chordata; Aves; Galliformes; Numididae. The record is from RefSeq and is a predicted model, not a curated record. The transcript has 8 exons.